This 400-nucleotide ribosomal RNA is filed under the name uncultured bacterium. Its description in RNAcentral is "bacterial SSU rRNA". It matches the Rfam family "Bacterial small subunit ribosomal RNA", at positions 91 to 507 of the family's 1533-position model. The record is from RNAcentral.
ACGAGCGGCGAACGGGUGAGUAACACGUGAGUAAUCUGCCCUUCACUUCGGGAUAAGCACGGAAACGGUGUCUAAUACUGGAUAUGAGCACCCUGCGCAUGUGGGUGUUGGAAAGUUUUUCGGUGGGGGAUGUGCUCGCGGCCUAUCAGCUUGUUGGUGAGGUAAUGGCUCACCCAAGGCUUCGACGGGUAGCCGGCCUGAGAGGGUGACCGGUCACACUGGGACUGAGACACGGCCCAGACUCCUACGGGAGGCAGCAGUGGGGAAUAUUGGACAAUGGGCGGAAGCCUGAUCCAGCAACGCCGCGUGAGGGAUGACGGCCUUCGGGUUGUAAACCUCUUUCAGUACUGACGAAGCGCAAGUGACGGUAGGUACAGAAGAAGCACCGGCCAACUACGUG